RNAcentral lists this ribosomal RNA (484 nucleotides) under uncultured bacterium. Its description in RNAcentral is "partial 16S ribosomal RNA". It matches the Rfam family "Bacterial small subunit ribosomal RNA", at positions 29 to 507 of the family's 1533-position model. The record is from RNAcentral.
AUUGAACGCUGGCGGAAUGCUUUACACAUGCAAGUCGAACGGCAGCACGGGGGCAGCCCUGGUGGCGAGUGGCGAACGGGUGAGUAAUACAUCGGAACGUGCCCGGUCGUGGGGGAUAACGUAGCGAAAGUUACGCUAAUACCGCAUACGAUCUGAGGAUGAAAGCGGGGGACCUUCGGGCCUCGCGCGAUCGGAGCGGCCGAUGUCAGAUUAGGUAGUUGGUGGGGUAAAGGCCUACCAAGCCGACGAUCUGUAGCUGGUCUGAGAGGACGACCAGCCAAAAUGGGACUGGGGAACGGCCCCGACUCCUACGGGAGGCAGGAGUGGGGAAAUUUGGACCAUGGGGGGAAGCCCGAUCCAGCCCUUCCGGGUGGAGGAAGAAGGCCUUCGGGUUGGAAAAUGGUUUUGUACGGGAAGAAAAGGCUCUGGCUAAUACCUGGGGCUCAUGACGGUACCGUAAGAAUAAGCACCGACUAACUACGUG